This 425-nucleotide ribosomal RNA is filed under the name uncultured bacterium. Its description in RNAcentral is "partial 16S ribosomal RNA". It matches the Rfam family "Bacterial small subunit ribosomal RNA", at positions 354 to 796 of the family's 1533-position model. The record is from RNAcentral.
GUGGGGAAUCUUGCGCAAUGGGCGAAAGCCUGACGCAGCCAUGCCGCGUGAAUGAUGAAGGUCUUAGGAUUGUAAAAUUCUUUCACCGGGGACGAUAAUGACGGUACCCGGAGAAGAAGCUCCGGCUAACUUCGUGCCAGCAGCCGCGGUAAUACGAAGGGGGCUAGCGUUAUCCGGAUUCACUGGGUUUAAAGGGUGCGUAGGCGGAUAAAUAAGUCAGUGGUGAAAUCAACGGGCUCAACCUGUUAACUGCCAUUGAUACUGUGUAUCUUGAAUAUGAGAGAGGUAGGCGGAAUGUUGCAUGUAGCGGUGAAAUGCUUAGAUAUGCUACGGAACACCGAUUGCGAAGGCAGCUUACUAUUUCGUAAUUGACGCUGAGGCACGAAAGCGUGGGUAGCGAACAGGAUUAGAAACCCUAGUAGUCC